GCCUGGCUGGCUCAGUUGGUUGAGCGCCUGACUCUUGAUUUGGGCUCAGGUUGUGAUCUCAUGAGUCAUGAGAUCGAGCCCCAUGUUGGGCU
RNAcentral lists this transfer RNA (92 nucleotides) under Ailuropoda melanoleuca (giant panda). It matches the Rfam family "tRNA". From Rfam's summary of the family: Transfer RNA (tRNA) molecules are approximately 80 nucleotides in length. Their secondary structure includes four short double-helical elements and three loops (D, anti-codon, and T loops). Lineage: Eukaryota; Metazoa; Chordata; Mammalia; Carnivora; Ursidae. The record is from Rfam by way of RNAcentral.